GACGAACGCUGGCGGCGUGCUUAACACAUGCAAGUCGAACGGAAAGGCCCUGCUUUUGUGGGGUGCUCGAGUGGCGAACGGGUGAGUAACACGUGAGUAACCUGCCCUUGACUUUGGGAUAACUUCAGGAAACUGGGGCUAAUACCGGAUAGGAGCUCCUGCUGCAUGGUGGGGGUUGGAAAGUUUCGGCGGUUGGGGAUGGACUCGCGGCUUAUCAGCUUGUUGGUGGGGUAGUGGCUUACCAAGGCUUUGACGGGUAGCCGGCCUGAGAGGGUGACCGGCCACAUUGGGACUGAGAUACGGCCCAGACUCCUACGGGAGGCAGCAGUGGGGAAUAUUGCACAAUGGGCGGAAGCCUGAUGCAGCAACGCCGCGUGCGGGAUGACGGCCUUCGGGUUGUAAACCGCUUUCGCCUGUGACGAAGCGUGAGUGACGGUAAUGGGUAAAGAAGCACCGGCUAACUACGUGCCAGCAGCCGCGGUGAUACGUAGGGUGCGAGCGUUGUCCGGAUUUAUUGGGCGUAAAGGGCUCGUAGGUGGUUGAUCGCGUCGGAAGUGUAAUCUUGGGGCUUAACCCUGAGCGUGCUUUCGAUACGGGUUGACUUGAGGAAGGUAGGGGAGAAUGGAAUUCCUGGUGGAGCGGUGGAAUGCGCAGAUAUCAGGAGGAACACCAGUGGCGAAGGCGGUUCUCUGGGCCUUUCCUGACGCUGAGGAGCGAAAGCGUGGGGAGCGAACAGGCUUAGAUACCCUGGUAGUCCACGCUGUAAACGGUGGGUACUAGGUGUGGGGUCCAUUCCACGGGUUCCGUGCCGUAGCUAACGCUUUAAGUACCCCGCCUGGGGAGUACGGCCGCAAGGCUAAAACUCAAAGGAAUUGACGGGGCCCCGCACAAGCGGCGGAGCAUGCGGAUUAAUUCGAUGCAACGCGUAGAACCUUACCUGGGUUUGACAUGGAUCGGGAGUGCUCAGAGAUGGGUGUGCCUCUUUUGGGGUCGGUUCACAGGUGGUGCAUGGCUGUCGUCAGCUCGUGUCGUGAGAUGUUGGGUUAAGUCCCGCAACGAGCGCAACCCUUGUUCACUGUUGCCAGCACGUUAUGGUGGGGACUCAGUGGAGACCGCCGGGGUCAACUCGGAGGAAGGUGGGGAUGACGUCAAGUCAUCAUGCCCCUUAUGUCCAGGGCUUCACGCAUGCUACAAUGGCUGGUACAGAGAGUGGCGAGCCUGUGAGGGUGAGCGAAUCUCGGGAAGCCGGUCUCAGUUCGGAUUGGGGUCUGCAACUCGACCUCAUGAAGUCGGAGUCGCUAGUAAUCGCAGAUCAGCAACGCUGCGGUGAAUACGUUCCCGGG
This 1343-nucleotide ribosomal RNA is filed under the name uncultured bacterium. Its description in RNAcentral is "16S ribosomal RNA". It matches the Rfam family "Bacterial small subunit ribosomal RNA", at positions 28 to 1378 of the family's 1533-position model. The record is from RNAcentral.